UUGGAGGGCAAGUCUGGUGCCAGCAGCCGCGGUAAUUCCAGCUCCAAUAGCGUAUAUUAAAGUUGUUGCAGUUAAAAAGCUCGUAGUUGGAUUUCUGUUAAUACUUUAUAUAUAAUAUCUUGUUAUAUUUAUAUAAUAUUAACAUCAUUCAUAUUACUAUUUUUUUUAGUAUAUGAGAUUUUACUUUGAGAAAAUUAGAGUGCUUAAAGCAGGCUUUUGCCUUGAAUACUCCAGCAUGGAAUAAUAUUAAAGAUUUUUAUCUUUCUUAUUGGUUCUAAGAUAAGAAUAAUGAUUAAUAGGGACAGUUGGGGGCAUUUGUAUUUAACAGUCAGAGGUGAAAUUCUUAGAUUUGUUAAAGACAAACUAGUGCGAAAGCAUUUGCCAAGGAUGUUUUCAUUAAUCAAGAACGAAAGUUAGGGGAUCGAAGACGAUCAGAUACCGUCGUAGUCUUAACCAUAAAC
This 461-nucleotide ribosomal RNA is filed under the name Cryptosporidium sp. RNAcentral's name for it is "SSU rRNA". It matches the Rfam family "Eukaryotic small subunit ribosomal RNA", at positions 548 to 1037 of the family's 1831-position model. The record is from RNAcentral. Lineage: Eukaryota; Apicomplexa; Conoidasida; Eucoccidiorida; Cryptosporidiidae.